This 253-nucleotide ribosomal RNA is filed under the name uncultured bacterium. Its description in RNAcentral is "partial 16S ribosomal RNA". It matches the Rfam family "Bacterial small subunit ribosomal RNA", at positions 524 to 776 of the family's 1533-position model. The record is from RNAcentral.
UACGAAGGGAGCUAGCGUUGUUCGGAAUCACUGGGCGUAAAGCGCACGUAGGCGGAUUUGUCAGUCAGGGGUGAAAUCCCGGGGCUCAACCUGGGAACUGCAUCUGUGACUGUAUAGCUAGAGUACGGUAGAGGGGGAUGGAAUUCCGCGUGUAGCAGUGAAAUGCGUAGAUAUGCGGAGGAACACCAGUGGCGAAGGCGGCUCACUGGUCCGGUACUGACGCUGAGGUGCGAAAGCGUGGGGAGCAAACAGG